RNAcentral lists this unclassified non-coding RNA (441 nucleotides) under Zea mays. RNAcentral's name for it is "misc RNA Zm00001eb279000". Lineage: Eukaryota; Viridiplantae; Streptophyta; Magnoliopsida; Poales; Poaceae. The record is from RNAcentral.
CUGGAUUCCCUCGCUGAAGUAGUCUGGGAAAUCUCACGGAACAUGGCUGUCAUGCAGGGAAACAUGAUCGUGAUGCAGGGGAACAUCUCCUCCAUCCAUACCUACAUCACCGGCGCCCAGAACUCACCGCAGCCACCGCUGCCUGCCUCCACCCCCAUGGCACUGCCGCCCAGCCCAUCUGUGCCACCGCCCACCACAUCUCUCCCAACAUCCACCGCUGCCGCAUCCUCCAUGGCUGGGGCUACGCCUGGCGUACCGCUGCACUUGAUGCAGUGGCCCGAAUCACCGUCGCAAGUCCCAUCAUAUAUGCUGCAGCCGUCGAUCUACUCUACUCCGGCGACCAUCACGUCGUCAGUGGUGCAGUCUGAAGCCCCCCACGCGCCGGCCUCUGGGGGGUCUUCUACGGAGGCGUCGAGGGAGUCCUCUUCUAUGAACCCAUGA